AGUCAAUCAGUGCAGUUGGAUGGUAGAGUUCGUCUUGUGUAGUGUUAUAGCCUAUUUUGUGGGCCUUGUUGCGCCAAACGAAAGAGAACGAUAUUUUUGGAGUGUUUUGCGCUCGAACCACAUCUUCCAAGAUAUUUCGAGGUUGAAAGGAAACUAAAAUACGAAGAGUGAUGAAAACAUAAACAAUAUCAACAGAUUUGACAUCAACGGAUACCAAAAAACUUCAGGAAAAUUAAAUAUCAACAUGGCAAGUCGAAUAAAAGUUCUAUACAAUCAGAUUUUGUAAAGAAAGAUAUGUUUGUUUGGCGUGUACUUGGAGACUUUUUUCUCUUUUUUAAACAGG
Long non-coding RNA from Pseudomyrmex gracilis, 343 nucleotides. RefSeq lists it as uncharacterized. The record is from RefSeq and is a predicted model, not a curated record. Lineage: Eukaryota; Metazoa; Arthropoda; Insecta; Hymenoptera; Formicidae. The transcript has 3 exons.